Molecule: long non-coding RNA, 443 nt
Filed under: Androctonus crassicauda
Lineage: Eukaryota; Metazoa; Arthropoda; Arachnida; Scorpiones; Buthidae
Source: RNAcentral
UGACCGAAAAAAAAAAACAAGAUCGAUUGGAAAAUGGCCACCGUAUAGCACCAUUUUCCGAUAGCGAUACCACCAAUAGGCCUAGCUUUUCAGUAACCAGCCCUGAUUUUUGGCGUCCAUCCAGCCUAGAUUGCAGCCCUCUCAAAUAUUUUGUGUGGGUAUGGUUGAAGCAAAGAUCAAUAAGACUCAUCAUAACAUAAAGGAAUCCCUGAAGGUUUUUAUCCUACAGGUGAUGACAAGUUUAGACGGAGAAGAGGUGAAGCAUGCCUGCAAGGAAUUUAGGCCCAAUACGAAAAAGUUGCAGAAAAUAUUGUUGCCAAAAUCAUUCAUACAGCAAAGUUGGGUCGGGGAACAUAUACAGGCUCGUUGAGGUGAAUCCGGAGGAAUAGCUAUGUAAAUAAAAAUAACAAAGCUGCAGGAAAGAAUAAAUAUAUUUAAGGAAA